Long non-coding RNA from Erpetoichthys calabaricus (reedfish), 326 nucleotides. RefSeq lists it as uncharacterized. Lineage: Eukaryota; Metazoa; Chordata; Cladistia; Polypteriformes; Polypteridae. The transcript has 3 exons. The record is from RefSeq and is a predicted model, not a curated record.
UUGAAGUGAUGUGACUGGCGUAUCUAUACUUGCUACUACCACAUUGCAGACUAUAAUGUAUUUUAAAAAUCUACAGUAUUCGAAGAUAACGCGUUAACAUCUGUACCGUGACAUCAAUGAGCAUUUUUAUAAGACUCCAACAUGUGAUUGAUGUGCCAGUUUACAACACUUCAAGUUCCUCUUUCAGCUGGUUCUGACCUAUUAUGCGACCAUUCUCGGGAAAUCCCGCAGGGUUACGGCACCUCUGAUGACGUAACUUCCGCUUCAGCCGCCUCUGAUGACAUCACUUUCCGGUGUGCCUCUGAUGAUGCCACUCCUGGUUCCGC